Molecule: ribosomal RNA, 497 nt
Filed under: uncultured bacterium
Lineage: Bacteria
Description: partial 16S ribosomal RNA
Rfam family: Bacterial small subunit ribosomal RNA
Source: RNAcentral
GAUGAACGCUGGCGGCGUGCCUAAUACAUGCAAGUCGAGCGAACAGACGAGGAGCUUGCUCCUCUGACGUUAGCGGCGGACGGGUGAGUAACACGUGGAUAACCUACCUAUGAGACUGGGAUAACUUCGGGAAACCGGAGCUAAUACCGGAUAAUAUAUUGAACCGCAUGGUUCAAUAGUGAAAGACGGUUUUGCUGUCACUUAUAGAUGGAUCCGCGCCGCAUUAGCGAGUUGGUAAGGUAACAGCUUACCAAGGCAAGGAUGCGUAGCCGACCUGAGAGGGUGAUCGGCCACACUGGAACUGAGACACGGUCCAGACUCCUACGGGAGGCAGCAGUAGGGAAUCUUCCGCAAUGGGCGAAAGCCUGACGGAGCAACGCCGCGUGAGUGAUGAAGGUCUUCGGAUCGUAAAACUCUGUUAUUAGGGAAGAACAAAUGUGUAAGUAACUAUGCACGUCUUGACGGUACCUAAUCAGAAAGCCACGGCUAACUACGUG